AACCACCCGCGUUAAGGAUGGAAGCGGAAAUCCUUUUUAUAGUGUAGCGCAGCGAAAUUAUAAAAAGAUUGCAGCGGACAGCCUGGCCUGCA
This 92-nucleotide small RNA is filed under the name Flavobacterium noncentrifugens. RNAcentral describes it as "Flavo-1 RNA". It matches the Rfam family "Flavo-1 RNA". Lineage: Bacteria; Pseudomonadati; Bacteroidota; Flavobacteriia; Flavobacteriales; Flavobacteriaceae. The record is from Rfam by way of RNAcentral.